Malus domestica (apple) is the source of this 1484-nucleotide long non-coding RNA. RefSeq lists it as uncharacterized. The record is from RefSeq and is a predicted model, not a curated record. NCBI's taxonomy places the organism in Eukaryota, Viridiplantae, Streptophyta, Magnoliopsida, Rosales, Rosaceae.
GCUUUUCUCGAAAGUGCUUUUGGUUGAUGCCGCUGCUAUUUCCGGUGCGGGGUGUGGGCAAAAGCACGUUAGUAAUGAGACUGUUUGAAACCCUAAAAGCAUCAAAUCCCAGCUUAAAGAUUCGGGGCUUCUACACUAGUGAGGUUAGAGAAAGAAGUGAGAGAGUAGGGUUCCAGGUUGUCAUAUUACAUCCCCCCUCUCCUCCUCCACCAUUUCCAGCCUUCAGGGUAUCCCUUUUCAUCCAAUCUUAACGUUUGUUCGUUGCUUUAUUUUUCAUAACUCCAUUUCGCAGUAAAAAAACACUUAAAACACCGUUUUGAAGAUGAAAAUCCAUAGACCUAACUGUUAUUGCACCGGACAUUACCAGUUGAUUGUCAAGCACUUUUUGUUUUUUCAUAGUUUGAUUCUUAAAGUGUUUUUCGUUAAUAUCAACAAUUUUCGUGGGUCUACAUAGCAUUCAACCCUAAAGCAUGUUUUUGUAUGUCAGCCCAUAGUCCUUGAGAUGGCCCACAGUAGGGAAGUAUAAAGUAGAUGUUGAAUCGUUUGAGUCAUUGGCACUGCCUGAAUUGCAGGUGGGAUGAUUUUUUUCAUCGCUUACUGAUCAAGUCUUGCCACCCUCUGCACAAUUUAGUUAAAUUUUAGGCCUUCACGUUUGCGGAACUUUGUGGAACUUUUUUCUUGUGAUGUGUAAUCAAGUAAGAGAAGAUGCUGAUGUAUUCAUCGAUGGUGAAGUUGGGAAGAUGGAGUUGUUCAGUUCAUCGUUCUUCUCUGCUGUUUUAAACAUUCUGGAAUCCACAGUCCUGUUUUUGGCCUCAGUUCCAUUUCUAAAAUUCGGACUCAAUAUACCUGCAGUUACAUUCUCCUCAAACAUUUCAUUAUUUCCCACUAUAAUCUUUUGAUAGCUUGCCUUGUUUCACAACUAUAUAUUUGAUAUAAUUUUGGUUUAUGUUCUAACAGUUUUAGAAUCACAUUGAUAUAUAUGAUUUUCGCAUACUGUAUAUUUUUUACUUAUUGCUCAUUGUAUGGAGUUGGAGUCGAUGACUGAACCAGAUGAGGAGUAUGGGCUCUGAUGAAGUUGCUGUAAGCUUCAUGUCGUCCUGUUUCUUGCACUGAAUUUGUACGUGACUAGGGUUUCUGAACUUCUGCAGUUGCAAGGUUGAAGAAUCAUUGGGGUGCAACAAUGUUUACGCUGUGCCAAAGUAACAGAGAUUUUGUAAAAGAAGAGAUGUACUCCCAGUUGGUAGCUUUAUAGAGUAAACAAUAGGUGUUGGACGAUCUCUGUGUCAUCCUCAAUUGUAAGACUUGAAGGAGCUCAAUUGUACUCAACCGGCUUCGGAUAGGCGUUUUCAAAAAUAAAUACUAAAUACUGUAUUUCUUCUUUCUGAAUUUCAGCAUGAUGUUCUUAUUUUGCAAACAUCUAAUAGAAGAUGGAACUCCAGGAGAAGUUAGACGUGAAUAAAGAGGCACAAACCGUGGUUUACAUA